GACUUUACAAAGGAGCUGUAUCAGAAACCAGGGUUAAACAACAAGUACAGAACAAAUGAUUCCUCCAGCACCCCUACUGUAAGGAUUUUAAGAACUCUAUCUCAGAAUAAAGACCUGAGGGUCACAAGAUGUAAAUCAAAGGCCCUAGGAUUUUCCCAGGGUCAGGUGUGCAUUCCUACUUAAUCAGAGGUCAUGAGUCCUCACACAUUUUCAAGAGUUUGGAAAAUGAUCUCCCUUGCCGGGUUGCCAGUCUUCAGAGAGGUCUGUACUGUGGAAGAAAAAGGAAAACUUCACAUGCACUGACCGUGUUUAAUACAUUCAUCAUAUACAGUAUUUUUGCAGCAGCAAAAAUAACACUCUUGAUUUAGUGUACAAUGACAUAUGUCAUAUAUUUAAUAUACAAAAUAUUUUCCUUGCUAACCUAUAUGAUUUCAAAUGCCUGGAACACCAUUGUGUCAUUACUUGAGAGUAUGUAAAUUUUAAUAUAUUAAAUUUUUUUGCCAGAUAUACUGGCAAGGUUUUAAAAGUUGUGAUUUUAUUGGAGGCCAGAUGAUAUACAUAGUAGUUUGUCUGAUCACUUGAACCAAGAGGAAACUAAUACAUUUUUGAGCUCCAAUAUGGACAUAAUGUCAUGAAGCAGGAACAUGAUGCUCCAUUUCAGGACACGUCUGCUGACCUUCACCUGGAAUCCCUGCUCUGGGCUGAUGACUCAGAUGUAAGAAUGAUGAGGUGCAUCAGUUGGAAAGCAGAGAACAAUGAGCAAAAGAACUGAGUUGUGGGAAGACAUGAAGGAUGGAUGUGAGGCCCUGAAUAACAGCUGCCAAGUACUGCAGUCGGGAAUCCGUGGUGAAGUGAUUCAAUCCUGACCACAGCCUGUGAUUAAACGGGAUUUCAUUUUUCAAUCCUUUUGUUUAACAGUACCUCCUUCAUUACACGUGAACAGCACUCCAGGAUAGCAAAUCAUGAAAUGGGAAUAAAGCCUGUAAUUUUAAUUAACAUAUUUUAAAAUAUGUCUGAUUUGCAUUUGAUCAAAUUUUCAUUUGCAUUGAGCUCUAUUUUUUUCUCAUGUAAUGUUUGACAUUCCCAUUUCCUUCUUUAAUGCAAUACUAAUAUUUAAUAAAAUAUAUUACAU
Molecule: long non-coding RNA, 1132 nt
Organism: Callithrix jacchus (white-tufted-ear marmoset)
Lineage: Eukaryota; Metazoa; Chordata; Mammalia; Primates; Cebidae
Source: RefSeq, a predicted model, not a curated record